Molecule: ribosomal RNA, 257 nt
Filed under: uncultured bacterium
Lineage: Bacteria
Description: partial 16S ribosomal RNA
Rfam family: Bacterial small subunit ribosomal RNA
Source: RNAcentral
UACGUAGGGUGCAAGCGUUAAUCGGAAUUACUGGGCGUAAAGCGUGCGCAGGCGGUUAUGUAAGACAGGUGUGAAAUCCCCGGGCUCCAACCUGGGAACUGGCAUUUGUGACUGCAUAGCUAGAGUACGGUAGAGGGGGAUGGAAUUCCGCGUGUAGCAGUGAAAUGCGUAGAUAUGACGGAGGAAUACCGGAUGGCGAAGGCAGCCCCCCUGGGCAAUACUGACGCUCAGUGCACGAAGCGUGGGGAGCAAACAGG